Molecule: ribosomal RNA, 492 nt
Filed under: uncultured bacterium
Lineage: Bacteria
Description: partial 16S ribosomal RNA
Rfam family: Bacterial small subunit ribosomal RNA
Source: RNAcentral
AGUGAACGCUGGCGGUAGGCUUAACACAUGCAAGUCGAACGGCAGCACAGUAAUAGCUUGCUCUUCCGGGUGGCGAGUGGCGGACGGGUGAGGUAUACAUCCGCAUCUACUUUUUCGUGGGGCUUCACGUAGUGAAACUUACGCUAAUACCGCAUCCGACCUACGGGUGAAAGCAUGGGAUCUUCGGACCUUGCGCGAUUGAAUGCGCCGCUUUCGGAUUAGCUAGUUGGCGGGUUAAAGGCCCACCAAGGCGCCGAUCCGUAGCUGGUCUGAGAGGAUGAUAAGCCACACUGGAACUGAGACACGGUCAAGACUCCUACGGGAGGCAGCAGUGGGGAAUAUUGGACAAUGGGCGCAAGCCUGAUCCAGCCAUACCGCGUGGGUGAAGAAGGCCUUCGGGUUGUAAAGACCUUUUGUUGGGAAAGAAAAGCAGCAGGUUAAUACCCAGCGGUACUGACGGUACCCGAAGAAUAAGCACCGGCUAACUACGUG